Molecule: ribosomal RNA, 454 nt
Filed under: uncultured bacterium
Lineage: Bacteria
Description: bacterial SSU rRNA
Rfam family: Bacterial small subunit ribosomal RNA
Source: RNAcentral
AGAGUUUGAUCAUGGCUACAGAACGAACGCUGGCGGCAUGCCUAACACAUGCAAGUCGAACGAGACCUUCGGGUCUAGUGGCGCACGGGUGCGUAACGCGUGGGGAUCUGCCCUUUGCUUCGGAAUAACAGUUAGAAAUGACUGCUAAUACCGGAUGAUGACUUCGGUCCAAAGAUUUAUCGGCAAAGGAUGAACCCGCGUAGGAUUAGCUAGUUGGUGGGGUAAAGGCCUACCAAGGCGACGAUCCUUAGCUGGUCUGAGAGGAUGAUCAGCCACACUGGGACUGAGACACGGCCCAGACUCCUACGGGAGGCAGCAGUGGGGAAUAUUGGACAAUGGGCGAAAGCCUGAUCCAGCAAUGCCGCGUGAGUGAUGAAGGCCUUAGGGUUGUAAAGCUCUUUUACCCGGGAUGAUAAUGACAGUACCGGGAGAAUAAGCUCCGGCUAACUCCGUG